CCGCUGCUAAACCCCAGAAGGUUGAGAAUUGAGAAUUGAGAGAGAGACCAUGUUUCGGAGCCGAGUGAUCGCGUUGUUUGUGAAGAAGAAUAGCAAGGCUCUCUACAAUGUGAUGGCAUCUAGGGUUUCCAAUGAGGAGGCUACCUACCGCCUAUUCUCUACUGGGCUCACAAGGAAAUGCUCCCCAUCUUUCUCCAAGCUUGACCACCGUAUCCUUGCAACUGCAACUUUAUUUUGAAUUGUCACUUUGUGGUGGUCAACAAGGAAGUUUGACAUACACCCUGCAGUUCGAUCGUUGAUUCGAACUACUGUUGGCAUGGCUGGCCUUCAGGUCACACUGGGGAUAUCUACACUUCUGUCAUAUGUGCCUGUUGGGCUUGGCACUGCACAUCAAGCUGGGGCAUUGACUCUCUUCACACUUAUGAUCCUUCUCAAUCACAUUGUGAGGAAGCCAUCACCAUCCCUUCUUAAAUCUCUACCUCAAGUAGCAAAGACAAUAUAAAUGACAACAUUAUACAAUUUUCAAUUUUUGUAACAAGCACUACACAUUUUAAUUGUAAGAAAUGAAAUAUUUAAUUAUUAAUAAGUUCUUCUGUUAUAGAUAAAUUGCCAGAUUGAAAGCUGGACAUGAGUUUUGCAAUUGUGGAUAAAUGUUUAGCUCUGUUGCUUGUACUAGGGCUUCUAUGUACCAUAUCCUAUUGUCAUAUCAAUUCCUUUUCUGUUGAAUACACCGAAACCUUUCUCAUCGUUAUUUUCAAGUGGAUACAGUAUCGAAAUGGAAACAGUAGUAGAAACAGGUCACUUUUCUUGAGCUACAAUAAACCAUACUCUAUUGAAAUGCAAUGUCUGGCUCAUACUGGUACUAUAACCAUUACAAGGUAGUCGACAGCUUGAACAUUUUGGUCUACCACAUCAUUACUA
Molecule: long non-coding RNA, 921 nt
Organism: Rosa chinensis
Lineage: Eukaryota; Viridiplantae; Streptophyta; Magnoliopsida; Rosales; Rosaceae
Exons: 3
Source: RefSeq, a predicted model, not a curated record